Molecule: ribosomal RNA, 465 nt
Filed under: Vreelandella stevensii
Lineage: Bacteria; Pseudomonadati; Pseudomonadota; Gammaproteobacteria; Oceanospirillales; Halomonadaceae
Description: partial 16S ribosomal RNA
Rfam family: Bacterial small subunit ribosomal RNA
Source: RNAcentral
CCUACGGGUGGCUGCAGUGGGGAAUAUUGGACAAUGGGGGGAACCCUGAUCCAGCCAUGCCGCGUGUGUGAAGAAGGCCCUCGGGUUGUAAAGCACUUUCAGUGAGGAAGAACGCCUGGUGGUUAAUACCCAUCAGGAAAGACAUCACUCACAGAAGAAGCACUGGCUAACUCCGUGCCAGCAGCCGCGGUAAUACGGAGGGUGCGAGCGUUAAUCGGAAUUACUGGGCGUAAAGCGCGCGUAGGUGGCUUGAUAAGCCGGUUGUGAAAGCCCCGGGCUCAACCUGGGAACGGCAUCCGGAACUGUCAAGCUAGAGUGCAGGAGAGGAAGGUAGAAUUCCCGGUGUAGCGGUGAAAUGCGUAGAGAUCGGGAGGAAUACCAGUGGCGAAGGCGGCCUUCUGGACUGACACUGACACUGAGGUGCGAAAGCGUGGGUAGCAAACAGGAUUAGAUACCCCGGUAGUC